This is a non-coding RNA of Pelobates cultripes (western spadefoot toad), 277 nucleotides long. Lineage: Eukaryota; Metazoa; Chordata; Amphibia; Anura; Pelobatidae. The record is from the annotation of a GenBank genome assembly.
CCAGAUUUCCUUAGUCACCAGUGCACUGGUCACUUUCUAUCACUUCUGGGACUCCAUAUCUGCACACAACUUCGGUGAGUAGAUGUUUGGCUGUAGUCUUGGCUGUCAUGUUAGUGACUGGAAAGGCUUCUGGCCAUCCUGAAAACAUAUCAACUAUGACCAGUGCAUAUUCAUACUGGCCACUCUUUGGCAUCUGAAUAUGGUCAAAUUGGGCCCUCUAAAAGGGAUAUUGAGGCUUGGCUAGAUGUUUGGGGGGCAGCUUUUUCCAUUCUCCCUG